CUUGGUGAAAAUAGAGACGUUGAACCACCUGAAUCCAUCUCGAACUCAGAAGUGAAAAGCGUCAUCGCCGAUGAUAGUGUGGGGUUUCCCCAUGUGAAAGUAGGUCAUCACCAAGU
This 116-nucleotide ribosomal RNA is filed under the name Leucothrix sp. The record is from RNAcentral. Lineage: Bacteria; Pseudomonadati; Pseudomonadota; Gammaproteobacteria; Thiotrichales; Thiotrichaceae.